UGGGGAAUAUUGGACAAUGGGCGCAAGCCUGAUCCAGCCAUGCCGCGUGAGUGACGAAGGUCUUCGGAUUGUAAAGCUCUUUUUGGCGGGGACGAUAAUGACGGUACCCGCAGAAUAAGCCCCAGCUAACUUCGUGCCAGCAGCCGCGGUAAUACGAAGGGGGCUAGCGUUGUUCGGAAUCACUGGGCGUAAAGCGCACGUAGGCGGAUGUGCCAGUCAGGGGUGAAAUCCCGGAGCUCAACUUCGGAACUGCCUCUGAUACAGCACGUCUUGAGUCCGAUAGAGGUGGGUGGAAUUCCUAGUGUAGAGGUGAAAUUCGUAGAUAUUAGGAAGAACACCGGUGGCGAAGGCGGCCCACUGGAUCGGUACUGACGCUGAGGUGCGAAAGCGUGGGGAGCAAACAGGAUUAGAUACCCCUGUAGUCCCUGAGCGGGCUGGCAAGGCGCAU
This 448-nucleotide ribosomal RNA is filed under the name uncultured bacterium. RNAcentral describes it as "bacterial SSU rRNA". It matches the Rfam family "Bacterial small subunit ribosomal RNA", at positions 355 to 825 of the family's 1533-position model. The record is from RNAcentral.